CCUACGGGUGGCAGCAGUAGGGAAUAUUGGGCAAUGGGCGCAAGCCUGACCCAGCAAUGCCGCGUGAAGGAAGAAGGCUUUAGGGUUGUAAACUUCUUUGACAGGGGAAGAGCAGAAGACGGUACCCUGAAAACAAGCCACGGCUAACUACGUGCCAGCUACCGCGGUAAUACGUAUGUGGCAAGCGUUGUCCGGAUUUACUGGGUGUAAAGGGCGUGUAGCCGGGAAGGCAAGUCAGAUGUGAAAUCUGGAGGCUCAACCUCCAAAUUGCAUUUGAAACAGUUUUUCUUGAGUACGGGAGAGGCAGACGGAAUUCCUUGUGUAGCGGUGAAAUGCGUAGAUAUAAGGAGGAACACCAGUGGCGAAGGCGGUCUGCUGGACAGCAACUGACGGUGAGGCGCGAAAGCGUGGGGAGCAAACAGGAUUAGAUACCCUUGUAGUC
This 442-nucleotide ribosomal RNA is filed under the name uncultured bacterium. Its description in RNAcentral is "partial 16S ribosomal RNA". It matches the Rfam family "Bacterial small subunit ribosomal RNA", at positions 338 to 795 of the family's 1533-position model. The record is from RNAcentral.